GAUGAACGCUGGCGGCGUGCUUAACACAUGCAAGUCGAACGGAAAGGCUCCUGCUUGCAGGGGUACUCGAGUGGCGAACGGGUGAGUAACACGUGGGUGAUCUGCCCUGCACUUCGGGAUAAGCCUGGGAAACUGGGUCUAAUACCGGAUAGGACGAUGGUUUGGAUGCCAUUGUGGAAAGUUUUUCGGUGUGGGAUGAGCUCGCGGCCUAUCAGCUUGUUGGUGGGGUAAUGGCCUACCAAGGCGUCGACGGGUAGCCGGCCUGAGAGGGUGUACGGCCACAUUGGGACUGAGAUACGGCCCAGACUCCGACGGGAGGCAGCAGUGGGGAAUAUUGCACAAUGGGCGCAAGCCUGAUGCAGCGACGCCGCGUGGGGGAUGACGGCCUUCGGGUUGUAAACUCCUUUCGCUAGGGACGAAGCGCAAGUGACGGUACCUGGAGAAGAAGCACCGGCUAACUACGU
Molecule: ribosomal RNA, 464 nt
Filed under: uncultured bacterium
Lineage: Bacteria
Description: partial 16S ribosomal RNA
Rfam family: Bacterial small subunit ribosomal RNA
Source: RNAcentral